This 1408-nucleotide ribosomal RNA is filed under the name Klebsiella sp. ANctcri2. Its description in RNAcentral is "16S ribosomal RNA". It matches the Rfam family "Bacterial small subunit ribosomal RNA". The record is from RNAcentral. Lineage: Bacteria; Pseudomonadati; Pseudomonadota; Gammaproteobacteria; Enterobacterales; Enterobacteriaceae.
CAUGCAAGUCGAGCGGUAGCACAGAGAGCUUGCUCUCGGGUGACGAGCGGCGGACGGGUGAGUAAUGUCUGGGAAACUGCCUGAUGGAGGGGGAUAACUACUGGAAACGGUAGCUAAUACCGCAUAAUGUCGCAAGACCAAAGUGGGGGACCUUCGGGCCUCAUGCCAUCAGAUGUGCCCAGAUGGGAUUAGCUAGUAGGUGGGGUAACGGCUCACCUAGGCGACGAUCCCUAGCUGGUCUGAGAGGAUGACCAGCCACACUGGAACUGAGACACGGUCCAGACUCCUACGGGAGGCAGCAGUGGGGAAUAUUGCACAAUGGGCGCAAGCCUGAUGCAGCCAUGCCGCGUGUGUGAAGAAGGCCUUCGGGUUGUAAAGCACUUUCAGCGGGGAGGAAGGCGUUAAGGUUAAUAACCUUGGCGAUUGACGUUACCCGCAGAAGAAGCACCGGCUAACUCCGUGCCAGCAGCCGCGGUAAUACGGAGGGUGCAAGCGUUAAUCGGAAUUACUGGGCGUAAAGCGCACGCAGGCGGUCUGUCAAGUCGGAUGUGAAAUCCCCGGGCUCAACCUGGGAACUGCAUUCGAAACUGGCAGGCUAGAGUCUUGUAGAGGGGGGUAGAAUUCCAGGUGUAGCGGUGAAAUGCGUAGAGAUCUGGAGGAAUACCGGUGGCGAAGGCGGCCCCCUGGACAAAGACUGACGCUCAGGUGCGAAAGCGUGGGGAGCAAACAGGAUUAGAUACCCUGGUAGUCCACGCCGUAAACGAUGUCGAUUUGGAGGUUGUGCCCUUGAGGCGUGGCUUCCGGAGCUAACGCGUUAAAUCGACCGCCUGGGGAGUACGGCCGCAAGGUUAAAACUCAAAUGAAUUGACGGGGGCCCGCACAAGCGGUGGAGCAUGUGGUUUAAUUCGAUGCAACGCGAAGAACCUUACCUGGUCUUGACAUCCACAGAACUUUCCAGAGAUGGAUUGGUGCCUUCGGGAACUGUGAGACAGGUGCUGCAUGGCUGUCGUCAGCUCGUGUUGUGAAAUGUUGGGUUAAGUCCCGCAACGAGCGCAACCCUUAUCCUUUGUUGCCAGCGGUCCGGCCGGGAACUCAAAGGAGACUGCCAGUGAUAAACUGGAGGAAGGUGGGGAUGACGUCAAGUCAUCAUGGCCCUUACGACCAGGGCUACACACGUGCUACAAUGGCAUAUACAAAGAGAAGCGACCUCGCGAGAGCAAGCGGACCUCAUAAAGUAUGUCGUAGUCCGGAUUGGAGUCUGCAACUCGACUCCAUGAAGUCGGAAUCGCUAGUAAUCGUAGAUCAGAAUGCUACGGUGAAUACGUUCCCGGGCCUUGUACACACCGCCCGUCACACCAUGGGAGUGGGUUGCAAAAGAAGUAGGUAGCUUAACCUUCGGGAGGGCGCU